RNAcentral lists this ribosomal RNA (254 nucleotides) under uncultured bacterium. RNAcentral describes it as "partial 16S ribosomal RNA". It matches the Rfam family "Bacterial small subunit ribosomal RNA", at positions 524 to 776 of the family's 1533-position model. The record is from RNAcentral.
UACGAAGGGGGCGAGCGUUGUUCGGAUUUACUGGGCGUAAAGGGCGCGCAGGCGGUUUUGUUUGUCGAGUGUGAAAGCCCCCGGCUCAACUGGGGAGGGUCAUUCGAUACUGCUCGACUCGAAGGCAGGAGAGGGAAGUGGAAUUCCCGGUGUAGUGGUGAAAUGCGUAGAUAUCGGGAGGAACACCAGUGGCGAAGGCGGUUCUCUGGGCAUUACCUGACGCUGAGGAGCGAAAGUGUGGGGAGGCGAACAGG